Molecule: ribosomal RNA, 497 nt
Filed under: uncultured bacterium
Lineage: Bacteria
Description: partial 16S ribosomal RNA
Rfam family: Bacterial small subunit ribosomal RNA
Source: RNAcentral
GAUGAACGCUGGCGGCGUGCCUAAUACAUGCAAGUCGAGCGAACGGACGAGAAGCUUUCUUUGCUGAUGUUAGCGGCGGACGGGUGAGUAACACGUGGAUAACCUACCUAUAAGACUGGGAUAACUUCAGGAAACCGGAGCUAAUACCGGAGAAUAUUUUGAACCGCAUGGUUCAAAAGUGAAAGACGGUCUUGCUGUCGCUUAUAGAUGGAUCCGCGCUGCAUUAGCUAGUUGGUAAGGUAACGGCUUACCAAGGCAACGAUGCAUAGCCGACCUGAGAGGGUGAGCGGCCACACUGGCACUGAGACACGGUCGAGACUCCUACGGGAGGAAGCAGUAGGGAAUCUUCCGCAAUGGGCGAAAGCCUAACGGAGCAACGCCGCGUGAGUGCUGAAGGUCUUCGGCUCGUAAAACUCUGUUAUUAGGGAAGACCAUAUGUGUAAGUAACUGUGAACAUCUUGACGGUACCUAAUCAGAAAGCAACGGCUAACUACGUG